CCGGGAUUGAUUUUCGGAUCAUCUCCAUGACCCUUUUUGUUUAUUCAAAAAUGUCUUUUUCUUCGGCAAGACGUCUGAUUCGAAAGAAUUCAGCCAUUGAUUCUUUGGUAACUCAAAGAAUGAAUGUGUUUGCUUGCCGAAGUUUUUACUCUUUUUUUCUUGAAGUCUGAGUAUACAAACAAAUAAAUUA
Molecule: unclassified non-coding RNA, 190 nt
Filed under: uncultured fungus
Lineage: Eukaryota; Fungi
Description: sequence contains ITS1, 5.8S rRNA gene
Source: RNAcentral